Long non-coding RNA from Ostrinia furnacalis (Asian corn borer), 718 nucleotides. RefSeq lists it as uncharacterized. The record is from RefSeq and is a predicted model, not a curated record. Lineage: Eukaryota; Metazoa; Arthropoda; Insecta; Lepidoptera; Crambidae. The transcript is spliced from 2 exons.
UCUGAUAAAAAACGUUAUUCAUAAUCGUUUAUAAACCUUUGAUAGCUAAAACAGAGUUUAAUAUUUUCUUUCCACAGACUAUACAAAAAGAAUGAACGAAAACAGCUUUUUUGGUGAUUUAACUUGAUGGACCAUGUAAAAUCAUAGACAAAUCGCAGAAAAAAAAAACAAAAAAUUGGCAGCUGUGACGUUUUACUUACUGACAUUGACAUUUGGCACGAAAAUUUAAUAAAGUUUUCGGUUUUUUCGAUCAACUCCCAAGUUUUAUCAAACUUUUAUAAAACUUGGGAUUGUAUGUUCUGGAUUCUGUACCUCUUACCCUGUACUCUGCAAUAAGCUCUUACGACGACCCGGCUAGUUACAUCGGAUACUAAUUAUGUCCAUGACGAAGGAGAACAGACCGCCUAAAAGGCAACGAUCAGAAAACUGGUUGGAGGAAGAUAAGUGUUUGCUUUUCAGUAUUUGCUGAAAGAGUUGGUGAAAGAAAGAGUAAAUGCAAUCGAAAAUAAAAAUACAGACACUAACACGAAUAAACGGAAGGUUGCGGCUUGGGCUGAUUUACAAACAACGUUGGUACAUCUUUUGAUUUCUGCCUUCAAUAUAAAAUUUUGCCUUUACCUGUAAUUCAAAAUCCUGUCAUUUCUUUUUCAGGUUUAAUUCAAUGUGCGCUGGUAUGAACCGCUCCAUUACCCAGUUAAAAUCGCAAUGGAGUCACCUC